CCUGCGGGAGUCAAAUGCGCUGGUGGCCAGUGGGAGUCACGGAGGACUCGGCGUUCACCAGCACUUAAUCUCACACUGCCACUGAGAGAUUCCAGGGAAUGCCUGGAUCUAAUUAUGGUUUAUCAGCUUUCACAGAGUGCAAAAUGUUUCCCAGAUUGAAGAUUCCACAGCCGAGGACACCCUGAGAAUUGUUAAAGAGAUCACUAAGUUGACCUCAAGGCAAGAGGAUAUAAACCAGCAUCAACCAAAGCAUUUGCAUCGUAUAGUAUUGGCUUAUAGAAAGACACUCUGUUAUUGUAAAUAAAAGGGCUCUUCGAUUCUUUUCCUUGCAAAAUCUAAUGGAAGACUAAAUGGGUCACGGCUGAUGUGCCAAAAGGAAGGAGUAGAAUGAAAAGUGGGUGAGUGAUAAUCGAAUAAAGAAGACAGAAUACAAUAGUCAAAGAAGAAAAUGUGGAAAAGAUACAAGGCCCUCAAGUGAAACCAGAGACUCUUUCUUGUCCUGCCAGCUCUAAUGAGAGGGGCCAACCAGGAACACAGCAACUCUCAGAUGAGACAAAAUACCUGACACCCAAAGUCAACGGAAGAAAGUUUUAUUUAGCUCACAGUCUGCAGAGGUUUCACUUCAUUGUUGCCUGGCUCCAAAUCAGGGUGUCCUGGAAGAGCAGCAUCGUAGAGGAUAAAUAGUUCAUGGCAGGUAAAGACAGAACAAACAAGGGACAAAUGACCAGACCCUUUCUGUCCUUGUGUCUUACUCAGGCUAACCACCGUAGGGCAGGUAGCAUUCACACCCUUAAUCGUAGCGUUGCACCAUGAGUCAAUCUCAGUGUCACACACUCUUGAUCCAACUACCUCUGUAAAGCCCCAACUAUGACCACGUGAGGCUUUGAGGGGACCUCUAGACACAGCCAUAACAAUCCUAUUACUGUUCGUUCAGGGAGCACAGAGUACUAGGCACUUUUUACUUGUGUUAUCUUUUACAAUCACCAUAAUUUAACAGUGAAUGAGAGGUUAUACUAUCCUCACUUUCUAUAAAGGACCUGAAGCUUAGCAAAGUGAUUUAUCCCUGACUAAAUCAAGUUUGUCUAUAGUGGCUAGGGCCAGGUUUUUAACACAAGUCUGUCUACUUCCAAAAUAACAGUGAUUUCUUCUAUAUCCACUUCACAGUUUAACCCAAGCUUCACUCGGGCAGUGUGUUUCUUUGCAUACUAUCCUGAGCACCACUAGAGCAGGUACAUUUUCAACCAGCUGAUACUUGUAUUAAAUACACUUGGUAAAGUUGUCUUUUUCAUAUUUCCUGUUAAUAAUAGCUUACAAAAAAUGUUUAAAACUGAAAUUUUUAGUUAUCCUAUAUCUAAAUAAUUGAACAGGUAGCCACUUACCAAUGGUCAGUAAGCUUUAGUUCUAAUGGCGAAUCUAUUAUUCCAUGAGGUAAAGAUGGUCUGUGGACUAAAAAUGGUUUUUACUUUGUAUUCUUAGAGUCUUGUGACACAGUCCAGGCUGGCCUUGAAUUCACAAAUGUGUUACUAAAUCUGGCAGAUUUUUAUAUUUUUAAAUGAUAGAAAUCCAAUGAAGACUACUUUGUAAUAUGAAAAUUAUAUGCAAGUCAAGUUUUAGUGUCCAUAAAUAAAUUUAUUGGAACACAGCCCAUUUGCAUAACUAUGGCUGCUGUCAUACUACAUGAGAGUUGAGUAGUUGCUAUGGAGAACAAAGGACCCUCAAACCCAAAAUAUUAACUACUCGGUCCUUUAAAAUAGUUUGCUAACUACUGCUGUGUACUACUUUGCCUCUUAUUUUGGUGGCUCCUAUUUUUAAGAUUACAUUUUUUAAGUUCCCAGCCUUAACAGGCUUCUUUUUCACCUCUACUAUAGAAAUAAUUAGUGCUCUUGAGCAUCUCUUUGCUCUGUCCUAUAAAAAUCAAAUCUCCCUGCUUAUACCUCAAGCCUGCUCAGGAAAUGUCAUUCCUACUUUAAUGUUAUAUAGAUGAGAACAUGUUAUAAUUCUUUUUCACUGACUCCAUUUCUCUGUUUAAGCAAUAUAGGAAAAGAGAAAUCUAAACAAGACCAUACAUAUGACUGCUGGUUUUUUGACAAGUCAUAGAUUUCUGUUGUGACUGAUUACAGCAACCAUAAGAAGUUCAGAGAGAGAGGAGUUGAGAGAGACAGACAGACAGAGACAGAGAGAAAGAGACAGAGAAAGACAGAAAAAGGAUAUUUAAAUAGCAACCAAAUAAUACUUUUCAAGCUAUAUGCUUCUAUGAAUUAAGAAUGACAAAGU
Cavia porcellus (domestic guinea pig) is the source of this 2274-nucleotide long non-coding RNA. RefSeq lists it as uncharacterized. The transcript is spliced from 3 exons. The record is from RefSeq and is a predicted model, not a curated record. Lineage: Eukaryota; Metazoa; Chordata; Mammalia; Rodentia; Caviidae.